This 402-nucleotide ribosomal RNA is filed under the name uncultured bacterium. RNAcentral's name for it is "bacterial SSU rRNA". It matches the Rfam family "Bacterial small subunit ribosomal RNA", at positions 28 to 415 of the family's 1533-position model. The record is from RNAcentral.
GACGAACGCUGGCGGCGUGCUUAACACAUGCAAGUCGAACGGAACUACUUUGAGUAGCAAUACCUGAAGUAGUUUAGUGGCGAACGGGUGCGUAACACGUGGGCAAUCUGCCUUAAAGUGGGGGAUAGCUCGGCGAAAGCCGGAUUAAUACCGCAUGUGAUGAGAGACGACAUCGUUUCAAAAUCAAAAGUGGCGCAAGCUACUGCUUUUUGAGGAGCCCGCGGCCUAUCAGCUUGUUGGUGAGGUAAUGGCUCACCAAGGCUUUGACGGGUAGCUGGUCUGAGAGGACGACCAGUCACACUGGAACUGAGACACGGUCCAGACACCUACGGGUGGCAGCAGUCGAGAAUUUUUCUCAAUGGGGCAACCCUGAAGGAGCGACGCCGCGUGGAGGAUGAAGGC